Long non-coding RNA from Triticum dicoccoides, 771 nucleotides. RefSeq lists it as uncharacterized. The record is from RefSeq and is a predicted model, not a curated record. Lineage: Eukaryota; Viridiplantae; Streptophyta; Magnoliopsida; Poales; Poaceae. The transcript is spliced from 3 exons.
AGAGGGCAAACAGAACCCUCUCGAUCCCUAGUUCAGUCUCCAGAACCCUCGAUCCCCAAUUCAGUCUCCUGCCACUCCACCGCCGCCGCCACCAUCGCCCUGUCCAACGCCACCAUCGUCCGGUCCACCGUCGCCGCCUCCAUCGUCCGGUCCACCGCCGCAGCCGCCGCCACACCAUCCUCCGGUCCACCGCGGCCGCUGCCUCCCCUUCCCGCGGAAGGCCGUUCUUCCGCCCGCAUCUGCCUCACCACCGGCGUAGCGCCGGUCUCCACCUCGCCACCCGCCGGAGCACCAGCACCCGCCUCCCCACCGAGCUCCCGUACUAGUCCCCCCAUUCAACUUUACGCGUCUUCACCUCUGGCUGUCCGUACUCCUCUGCUCGCUGCAUCACAAGCCCUCUGUCUUCAUAUCUCUGAAACAUCAGCAAACAGCUAGGGGAGUUGGCUGCCACCCUUUUCGACGCCGUAAUUUCCCAGCUUGAACAAGUAUAUUGAACUUGUUUGAGCUGCAUGUUGAUGACGAGGAAGAUGACAGUGCCCGAAUCCAAAUUGAGCAAGAGGCUAACCGGAUUAUUGACACAUAUGCAAGGAAAAAGGUGAAAGACAUGUUGUACCAACUUCGUGUGGAUGCUGUGAAGCUUUACUAUGAGAAUCAAGGAGAGAAGCUUGAUGACUCGAUGGCUUGUGCAAGAGAACUCGAAUAUGAGCAAUACCUCCAGAGUAGGAUACCAUGGUGCAAGGAAGUUGCAUGGCCUGGAUGAUGUCGUUAUUG